CAUGUUUAACCCCGCCGCAUUUUUGCGCCUGUCCCAAGUCAGGAGCCUCUGGCCUUUGUUAGUCUUGUAUUAUUUUAAUUUUAGUUUCUUGUGUACAAUUUGGAAAUUAGUAUGGCGUUCAUUAUCACUGAACUAGUAUAUAUUUGUUUAGGGGCCAGCUGAAGGACGCCUCCGGGUGCGGGAAUUUCUCGCUACAUUGAAGACCUGUUGGUGACCUUUUGCUGUUGUUUUUUAUUUGGUCGGGUUGUUGUCUCUUUGACACAUUCCCCAUUUCCAUUCUCAAUUUUAUUAUAG
Molecule: long non-coding RNA, 294 nt
Filed under: Mytilus galloprovincialis (Mediterranean mussel)
Lineage: Eukaryota; Metazoa; Mollusca; Bivalvia; Mytilida; Mytilidae
Source: RNAcentral